RNAcentral lists this ribosomal RNA (420 nucleotides) under uncultured Nitrososphaerota archaeon. Its description in RNAcentral is "bacterial SSU rRNA". It matches the Rfam family "Archaeal small subunit ribosomal RNA", at positions 459 to 879 of the family's 1478-position model. Lineage: Archaea; Thermoproteati; Nitrososphaerota. The record is from RNAcentral.
CAGCCGCCGCGGUAACACCAGCCCCUCGAGUGGUGGGGAUGAUUAUUUGGCCUAAAGCAUCCGUAGCCGGCUCUGUAAGUUUUCGGUUAAAUCUGUAUGCUCAACAUACAGGCUGCCGGGAAUACUGCAGAGCUAGGGAGUGGGAGAGGUAGACGGUACUCGGUAGGAAGGGGUAAAAUCCUUUGAUCUAUUGAUGACCACCUGUGGCGAAGGCGGUCUACCAGAACACGUCCGACGGUGAGGGAUGAAAGCUGGGGGAGCAAACCGGAUUAGAUACCCGGGUAGUCCCAGCUGUAAACUAUGCAAACUAGGUGUUGGGUUGGCCACGAGCCACCCCAGUGCCGCAGGGAAGCCGUUAAGUAUGCCGCCUGGGAAGUACGAUCGCAAGGUUGAAACUUAAAGGAAUUGGCGGGGGAGCAC